CAGGUAUUGGCCUAGUAACGGCGAGUGAGCGGCAACAGCUCAAAUUUGAAAUCUGGCUCUCGGGCCCGAGUUGUAAUUUGUAGAGGAUGCUUUUGAUGCGGUGCCUUCCGAGUUCCCUGGAACGGGACGCCAUAGAGGGUGAGAGCCCCGUCUGGUUGGAUGCCAAAUCUCUGUAAAGCUCCUUCAACGAGUCGAGUAGUUUGGGAAUGCUGCUCUAAAUGGGAGGUAUAUGUCUUCUAAAGCUAAAUACCGGCCAGAGACCGAUAGCGCACAAGUAGAGUGAUCGAAAGAUGAAAAGCACUUUGAAAAGAGAGUUAAAAAGUACGUGAAAUUGUUGAAAGGGAAGCGUUUAUGACCAGACUUGGGCUUGGUUAAUCAUCUGGGGUUCUCCCCAGUGCACUUUUCCAGUCCAGGCCAGCAUCAGUUUUCCCCGGGGGAUAAAGGCGGCGGGAAUGUGGCUCUCUUCGGGGAGUGUUAUAGCCCGCCGUGUAAUACCCUGGGGGGGACUGAGGUUCGCGCAUCUGCAAGGAUGCUGGCGUAAUGGUCAUCAACGACCCGUCUUGAAACACGGGACACCAAAAA
Molecule: ribosomal RNA, 582 nt
Filed under: Fusarium oxysporum f. sp. ciceris
Lineage: Eukaryota; Fungi; Ascomycota; Sordariomycetes; Hypocreales; Nectriaceae
Description: eukaryotic LSU rRNA
Rfam family: Eukaryotic large subunit ribosomal RNA
Source: RNAcentral